RNAcentral lists this ribosomal RNA (468 nucleotides) under uncultured bacterium. Its description in RNAcentral is "partial 16S ribosomal RNA". It matches the Rfam family "Bacterial small subunit ribosomal RNA", at positions 28 to 507 of the family's 1533-position model. The record is from RNAcentral.
GACGAACGCUGGCGGCGUGCUUAACACAUGCAAGUCGAACGGAAAGGCCCUGCUUUUGUGGGGUGCUCGAGUGCCGAACGGGUGAGUAACACGUGAGUAACCUGCCCUUGACUUUGGGAUAACUUCAGGAAACUGGGGCUAAUACCGGAUAGGAGCUCCUGCUGCAUGGUGGGGGUUGGAAAGUUUCGGCGGUUGGGGUUGGACUCGCGGCUUAUCAGCUUGUUGGUGGGGUAGUGGCUGACCAAGGCUUUGGCGGGUAGCCGGCAUGGGAGGGUGACCGGCGACAUGGGGACUGAGAUACGGCGCAGACUCCUACGGGAGGCAGCAGGGGGGAGUAUGGCACAAUGAGCCGAAGCCUGAUGCAGCAACGCCGCGUGCGGGAUGACGGCCUUCGGGUUGUAAACCGCUUUCGCCUGUGACGAAGCGUGAGUGACGGUAAUGGGUAAAGAAGCACCGGCUAACUACGUG